CACAUCCAUUUGGUGAACCUGCUUGUUUUGUUGUGUAAUAUCUUUUAAGUCCACAUGGUAUUAGAUUUCUGAACUAGGAAAACAUUUCUUUCUCUCUAGAGAUUAAUUAACAGCUUCUAUUGCGGGCCCACAGUCUCUAAUGCACAGUGCCGAAAUCUAAAUAUUUCUGAAAACCAAGACUUUUCCUGUAAGUUAAUGGCAAACCUAUUUGGUGGCAAAACCUGACCUGGUCAUAUUUGAGGAUUAAAGGCUUGAUGUGAAUAUUACAACUUCAACCACAGAAAUGUACACAUGUUUGGAAAUGGCCUGAAUCCUGUUGAAUUGUUAUUUAGUGUAUACAAUAUAUGUACAUAAUCACUGGUCUAAACUCCAAAUGUUCUGAAUUCAUAGAAACAUUCACCCCCAGGGAUUUCUGAUAAGGAAUUGAGGAACUGUGUUAGAUAGCAAGAACUUUUAAUACUCUUUAUUUCCCAUUUUUGCCCUGACUGCCAAGAAGGUCAAGUUUAAAUAAUUAAGCGAAUUCACUGCAAUUAGCUUUUGUCUAAAGUUUCUUAGUACAAUUAUCCUUUCUAUAACUUGGCAUUUGAAAAAUUAUCUGUGCAAUAUGGUGUUCUUGAAUUGGACUCUUAUUUGAACCUGUUUCACAUUAUAAUUUUUUAAAAAAAUGAGUAUAAACUUAUUGCAAAAAAAAAAAAAGUGAAUCCAGAAAUAUUCUAGAAACUAUUAGGACAGAUGGUUCCUAAAUGUCCCUGUCUGCCACCCUGCCUCGUGGGGGUGGAAUUGGGAUGGAGGAGGGGCUGGCAUGAUUAUGGAUUGAUUCCUUCUGUGCGUCCUCUGUAUGCCCAGAGGAGACAAAGGACACUCCCUUGACAUCCCCUGUGACCACAGCUCUCAGCAUCUUAGUCAACUCAUCUACUCAUACAUUCAGCCACCACUCAGAUGCAGCCAUGAGCCUACUUCAGGUGGGUGCAGAAAAUAAUUUGCUUGUGGAUUUGCUUUGUUGACAAGCUUCUUCCUAAUUAUUACAUCAAAGCCACCUUUUUUGGGAUACUUAAAAAUAAUAGUUGCACAAGUCAUACAUUAUAGUUUGGAUAUGAAGUAUCCCCCCAAAGACUUGUGCUUUAAAGACUUGUUAUGCAGAGGUAGGGAUUUGGGCAAUUAUUUGGAUCAUGAAAGCCACUGAUAGAUUUAUAGUUGAAUGGACCAUGGGGAGAAGGUAGAAACCACAGGAGGUGGAACAUAAUUACAGGGAUUGGGUUCUUGAAGGUGUGCACUAUGUUUUGCCCCCCAGUCCCGGCCCCGCUCUCCUUCCCCUCCCCUCCUCAAUUUCCCUGUUUCCUGUCUGCUGGGAAGUGAUCAGCUUUCCUCCCCUAUGUCCUGUUGCAUUGAUAUUUUGCCUUACCUCACACCCAAAGCAAUGGAGCCAGCUGACCAUCACUGAAAACUUUGAAACCAUGAGCUAAAAUACAUCUUUCUUCCUCUAAAUUGUUUUUCUUAGGUGUUUUGUCACAGCAAUGAAAAUCUGACUAAUACACCAUGAGAGCUGAUUUUUCUAAAAACUAUACAUAAUGGAAUACACAUAUUUAGUCACUACAUAAAGGAGUAUUAAUUGCUAAAUGAUGGAGAUUAUGGGUGAUUCUUUUUUGUGGAGCUUGCCAUUAUAUUUUAAAUUUUCAAUGAUU
RNAcentral lists this long non-coding RNA (1682 nucleotides) under Marmota monax (woodchuck). Lineage: Eukaryota; Metazoa; Chordata; Mammalia; Rodentia; Sciuridae. The record is from RNAcentral.